UGAAGAACCAACAUAGCAUAUGUAAAGUUGAAGUAAUUCCUGCACUUGCUGGUAGCCCACAAGAAAGCAUUUUCUUUUUCUUUCUUUUUUUUAAUAUUUAGUUGUAGAUGGACAAAAUACCUUUAUUUUAUUUUUAUGUGGUGCUGAGGAUCGAACUAGUGUCUCACGUGCACCAGGUGGGCGCUGUACCCCUGAGCCACACCCCCAGCCCAAAGAAAGCACUUUUUAACAGCUCGGAGUACAACUUUCCAGAUUGUUUUUCCUAAGAACAUGUGAGUAUGUAUAUAUUUACAUGUUUUUUAUUGCAUCAUGUUAUAGACAGUCCUGCAGUUUUUCUCUUGUCAGUUUUUAUAAUGGACUUUUUUUUCAUGUCAGUACACAUAGAGGAAGAAGCUCAUUGCUUAUAAUUACUCAGCAGAAGUUACUUCAGUGGGUAAUUCUCUGAUUAUUUCACUAUUUCUGUUGUGUUUUUUGUUGUUUGUUUAAAUAUUUCUUACAUCAGUUUUGGAAUUUUAUAUUUUUACAAGAAUGUAUCCUUGUUUUUAUUUUAUUACCUUAUAGUUAAUCAUAAUAUUGUUCUGUUUACAUUAUUUAGUCUGUACUUUGUCUGAUGUUAUUUCCCCUUAAAUCUGACAUCCUGGGGUCUGGAGUCACCAUACCCUUUAGAGGUUUUUAUUAGCUGAUCAGAAUUUUGGAGAACUAUAUUGGAUGCCUAAUAUAGAUUAGGAUUCUACCAUGACACAUUAUCUUGAAAUAUUCUUUCCUGCUUUGACAAAAUCAUGGAGAAAAGAAUAAUAAGAACACUUUCUCUGAUGCUUUUCAUUAGGCAUUUCAAGUUAUGUGAAGGCUAUGAUGAGUCAUACUGAAGUUCUAGAACAUCAGUUUAGGCGAAACAAAAUUUUUUUUCUCUAUUGUUCCCUCAUAUUCUCUGGGGAGUUUCAAAUCUUAGUCACCUCUUAUUUAGAUAUGAUGUGUACUCAAAAGUUCAUACAUAAGACAAUGCAAGAAAGUUUAGAGGUGAAAUGAUUAAGUUAUGAGAUCCUUAACCUAUAUCAGUGUGUUAAUCCAUUGAUAGUAAUUAACUAAAUGGUAAUUGUAGACAGGUGGGGUGUGGCUGGAGAAGGUGGGUCAUUGGGGGCAUGCCUAGGGUACAUAGAGCACAUAUUUUGUCAGUGGUGAGGACAGUCUCUGCUUUUUGGUGGCUAUGUCCUAAGCCACUCUCCUCCACCACACUCUUCUGCCAUCAUGUUCUGCCUUAUCUAGAGCUCAGAGGAAUGGAGUCGGCCAUCUAUGGACUAAGACCUCUGAAACUGUGAAUCCCUAGUAUACUUUUCCUCUAAAAAUUUUCUUGGUUACAGCAGCGAAAAACCCAAAACAUCACCCAACCCAGAAAACAGGGACCUACCUAGUUAAAUCUGGGCAAAAUAGUCUGUCUUUCCCUAUGGCACCUGGAAAUCAUAUGAGAACACACCAGUGCACUCAGGUAUGGAUUAUAGUUUCUUUUGGAAGUUGAGAUGUUAAUCAUCAUACUGUGUUAUUUUUCCCUGCAGUAUUGUGAUUUAAGCUAUUAGAAAAUUUGAUAUCAGUUGGAGUUUCAAUGAUGAUCAUAUGUGGAGAUAAAUGUCCCUGCAUUCAGGACUGCAUUUGAUGGAUCAAGACUUGUUAUACUUCCUUUACAACAAUAAGGAUGAUAUAUCUGUAGUGGGAGCUCUCCUUCUUGUAACAAUUAUGAGCAGUUCAGAAGCUACUUCACAUUUCUUUAGACUAUAGCAACAUGUUGGUGUUUUUUUGUUUUUGUUUUUGUUUUUUUUUUAAGCUUGAAAUGUAGGCCACAAAGUCCGAUUGAUACUAUGAAUGUGUGUGUGUGUGUUGACAUGGGUGCAGGCAUGCCAUCAAUGUUUGUAUACCUGCUUUUAUUCUCUGCUUUGAGUUCUCCUUUCAGGGUACUAUAUUUGAAGAUACCUGACAACUUCAUCCAUAGUUGUCAAAGAAACCAGUCUUCAACUUGUACAAAAGAUUCUUUUAUUUUAUCUAUUUGUUCACAGUAUUUGGAAGGUUAAACAUGUCUGUUGAAAACCUUAACCUUCUCAUCUAUUAAAAACAUUUAUACCAAAUAUUGUUAGUUUCUAAGUAAGUAUCUUUUUAUAUGCAACCUUGAAAUUUUUUUCUUAUACCUUCAGGAGGAUUUCUCCCUCUUGAAAUAUGAAUUCCUAAAGGCCAUUUGGUAUUUACAUAGACAAUUGCUUAGAAGAUUUCUAUCCUACAUUAGAAGGCAAUGUCUUCUAGAAUUUAAAGUAGCUUGCCAGGUUUGGCUACUUCAUAAGUGACUUUCUGUCUCAAGCUUGCAUUACAGUUAAUACAUUAAUACAUACAUAAAUAGUACAGUGGGUCUUUGGUGACACAGGUAAGGUAAGAC
RNAcentral lists this long non-coding RNA (2416 nucleotides) under Marmota monax (woodchuck). The record is from RNAcentral. Lineage: Eukaryota; Metazoa; Chordata; Mammalia; Rodentia; Sciuridae.